This is an RNA transcript of Dicentrarchus labrax (European seabass), 922 nucleotides long. It is a transcript of the gene named polysaccharide biosynthesis domain containing 1, with no coding region annotated. Lineage: Eukaryota; Metazoa; Chordata; Actinopteri; Moronidae. The record is from RefSeq and is a predicted model, not a curated record. The transcript has 4 exons.
UAUAAUCUCUCCGUGUGUUUUCAGCUCAUUUCGUCCGUCGAUCCGAAGUUCCUGAAGUUGACCAAACUGGACGAUAAAAUCUACUCGCUGUUCAGAGAAACGUUCAAAGAUCUCGACAUCAAAGUGCUGAAAGCCGAGGACCUGAAAUCUGACAAAGCCAAAGAGACGUGGCGUCCGUUCUGUAACCAGUUUGACGGCCUUAUAGAAGAUUUCAACUACGGCACUCUGCUGCGUCUGGACUGCGAGAAGGAUUACACGGAGGAAAACACCAUAUUCGCCACCAGAGCUCAAUUCUUCGCUGUUGAAAUCGCCCGAAACCGAGAAGGCUACAACGACGCUGUGUUCAAGUCCAAAACCUCAAAGAGUUAGCCUUCUAAUAAUUAACCAGUAACCAACCAGUAACCAACCAGUAACCAACCAGUAACCAACCAGUACCGGACCCAUCCAACCACCACCGGGACGUCCCUGCACUCAGAGGGGGGGGCAGCUCUUUAUUUUCAUGUUUUAUGGAAACAAUCAAUGUUCAGUUUGUCUGGUUAAAAUCAAUGUUGGACACAUUUUGUAUUUACUGUAAAGUUUUAUUGUUCCGAUCAUAAUGGUUGUUUUUGUUUAUUAAACGCCAAAGUUGCAUUUGUUCACCCGUAACCGUGGAAACGAUAUAAAUGAAUAAAAGUCAGACAUUUUACCACCCAGAGUUUUAUUGAUCAUUCAGUAGUUUUUAAUGUUUAUCAGAGUUGAAAGGAUUUUAGUCAUCAGACGUCUGGAUCUUAAGUUAUCAGAGAAACAAGCUGAGCUAACGUUAGCAGCAGCUCGGCUCGCAGCCCCUCCGGGACGUCCUUUGUCUGUCCAACAGCGUGGGAGAAGCAGUGAUUUUUAAGGUGGAACUGCUUUAUUCAGUGUGUUUAAGGUGGAACUGCUUUAU